This 307-nucleotide long non-coding RNA is filed under the name Pan troglodytes (chimpanzee). RNAcentral's name for it is "long non-coding RNA NONPTRT015755". The record is from RNAcentral. Lineage: Eukaryota; Metazoa; Chordata; Mammalia; Primates; Hominidae.
UAGAGAAAAAAAAAGCAGAAAAAGUCUAAAUUAUAUUUGAAUAAUCUGCUCUCUGGAUGUCCAAUUCCAGACAAUGAGGACCACUUGAUUUUCAAAGACAUAUAAGGAAGAUGUCUACACCCUCUCUUUAUCACCACUUCCAUCAACUAACAACCCAUAUUGCAGGAAGUUUGACAUGAAUGCUUGUGGUAACAGAUGAUUAACACCAUGUUUUACUUCCAAAAAAAAGAGUCUGAUGUUAUCACCUUGUCUUUUCUUGAAGGACUAAGAUUUAUUCUGUCUUUUUACAGUGAAAUAAUAAUAGAAU